AGACAAAGCUAAAGAAUGAGAGAGGGGGGAGCAAGAAGGCACUGUGGGCUGGAUGCUUCAGGAGCAGAGGAUCUAUCAACUGCAGACCAAGCUAGGGAGCUGCCGACAAACCUGGAACGGUAACCUGGCUAGCUCCGGGAGCGCCGACGGCACUCGGUGGCCCAGCAACGGGCAACAGGAAACGUGCAGUGGCCACGAGGCAAGAAAUCGACUCUGACCCGAUCAUUGACACCUGGCUUGCUGCACUCUCUCUAAUCCUUGGAAGUCUGUGGGUGCCUGUUAAGAAGCCCUCCUCCUGAACAGCUUGCACUUCUCCUACAAAGCUUGACUGAAGCAUCCAAUAGAACAUUAGCAGCCCUCCCUCAGCUGGAGUCCGUGGCUACUCUUCUGUGCCCAGAGGGCUCUACAAUCUCUCCAGCCUGGCACCUGGAUCUGUGUCAACUUGCUUUGUCCCUCCUGCAAGAGGGUCACUCCUGAAAAUGUAGAUAAUGCCUUGGACUUUACCACGCCUAGCACAGUAUCUAGUCUAUAUCGUAGAUAUUUUACUAGACGAUGAAAGGAAUAAAGAUGGGAAAAUUCAAAGGCAGAGAGCCUUUUAAAGAC
Long non-coding RNA from Mus caroli (Ryukyu mouse), 603 nucleotides. RefSeq lists it as uncharacterized. Lineage: Eukaryota; Metazoa; Chordata; Mammalia; Rodentia; Muridae. The record is from RefSeq and is a predicted model, not a curated record.